Long non-coding RNA from Solanum pennellii, 2334 nucleotides. RefSeq lists it as uncharacterized. The record is from RefSeq and is a predicted model, not a curated record. Lineage: Eukaryota; Viridiplantae; Streptophyta; Magnoliopsida; Solanales; Solanaceae. The transcript is spliced from 2 exons.
UUCAUUCUUCUUCUUCUUCUUCCAGCAGGAAACAAACCCAUAAGCAGUCCCGCAGCAGCAUAGUCAGUCCAGCUUCUCGACCCGAAUUGCGACACUAAACCCAGAAAAGCGGGCAGCCGCGUGUCGCCAUCUCCUUGAAUGUUCGUCCUUUCUCAAAAUCCUGCGGUGCUCAUUGAUUCACCGUUUGAAUUCAUACUAUUGGACAACUUUCAGACUUAUCCUUUAAGAGGAUUUUGAAUUUCAAAUUGGAAGGGAUCCAAAAAAAAAUUCUACAUGUUUUUCCCCCUCUCAAACUCUGCCCAGGGUCCGUCUCACUCGUGGCUAUCUCAGUCCGCUGCUCCGAGAAAGGUAAACUCGAUUUCCUUAUAUUUACUCACACUGACCUGUUUUAUUAGGCUUUAUAUAUGUCCACUUUUUUUUUUUUUAAGUCUUGUGGUUCAUGCUUUAUUUCUCUUGAAUUGUGGCCAGUUUACUAAGUGUUUUGCAUAACGAAAUUUGUUAACAUGUAUUGGGCUGAAAGGAUUUAUGAUUGUUCAUUUUUAUUCUUGCCUUGGCUUUAGUUAGUUAGUGUGGAUAUUAAGACUCAAUAUACUUUCCUCUUGCAUAGUCAAUAUGUUUUUUUUACUAUUUGAAUAGAUUAACAUUUAUGCUUUCAAUACCAUUGAUUAGAGAUUUUGGGUUAGUGUGAGUUUAAUAUAGGUUAGUGAGUUGAUUUGGUUAAGCUUGAAUACCCAUUUUGUCAAUCUUUUAUGUUGUAAGAUUCUAGCUGCAUUUUUCGUUAUUGUAUUGAGCCUAUCGGGUUGAGACCUGGUUUGCUCUACUUGUAUUUCGUUCUACCCCUUUCAGGCACUUUCCCUCCAUUAUUUUUGUGUAGCAGUCAAUUUAAGUAGCUGCGCAUCUGCAUUCUUCAUUUUCGUUUGAUUUCGGGUGAUCGUAUGAACAUGUAGUGAGAAGAUAACAAUGAUGAUGUUCAUGUUGAGGCUGCCUUCUUUUUAGGAAUCAUUAUAUGUGAAAGUGUGUAGUAACUUAGCUAUAGAUUAAAAUUCUCUGAAUUAGGUGAUAGAAAUUAUCCAAAUCAAUUCUUCGUGUGCCCAUACUCACUAUGUAUCUUUGCUGUGGUACCUAACUGUAUUAAGCUUUUGUGUAUGCUUCGGUUUUCUGUUGGGAAGCUUUUUGUUCGUGUUUGUGUAUUUGUUAUAUUUUUUCUAAGAUUAUAGGUUCAUGUAGCAUCAAUCAUGAUUAAGGGGUUGAAGCUUAGUUACUUGUUCAUAUUUGAGUAUUCUGUUUUCUCCAAUCUUGUCUCCUUAAAAAAAAUUCUCAUGUUGAUUUAAAUGUUAAUAUUAUAUGGUGCACAUUUGGUUCAUAUCUUGAAAAUCUCACCAUCAAUCAUUGACCUCGCCAUAAGAAUAUCUAAUCAUAGCUGCUAUUGUUUUGGAUAAAUUAUUGUAAAUUAAGUGACCACUUUAGUAUUGAUAUGAGGAUAUAUAAGCGUUCUUUUAAGGUUAAAGUAGCGUCAAAUGAUAUUGGGUCUUCCUUUUUUAAAUUAAUUAAGAUUCUGUGUUUUUUUUUAAUUAUUAUUGAUUGUCCCUGCUCAAUUUUGGGCUAAUAGUUUAUGUUAAUAUUUUGAUCGAUUGUUCCAGAUUGUGCAUUGUUUUGAUUUAGGAAGGCUUAACUUGUUUGCCAUGAUUUUACUCUCCAUCUUAUUAGCCCUUAAGCUUAAAAUUUUAGUCAUCUUUUUUAUUCUAUUUGAGCAUUUAUUAAUGUUAAAUGUAGUCAGUAGUCAAAUAUUAGAAAUUUGCUAUUGAGCAUGCUUAUUAAGGCUUAGUUAAAAUUAAUAGUCUUCCAUUGUCAAUUCUAGACAUUGCCUCGUUUAGGCUAUAUUUUUUUUAUUUUGAUACAACAUGGUUCUUUUUUUAGUUAAUGAGGUAUACUUAUGUAUAUUUAUUAUUCUGUGUUGCAUGUGGAAUCCACCUGAGUUCCAUAUGAACUCUUAUUUCCUAUAUUUGCUUUUCGAGAGAGCCACAAAGACUCAAGUUUCUUCCAUUAAAGAGCAAUUCCCUAAAAAUUGACGCACAGGUCCCGAAGCGGAAGAAGUUGAAGAGAUUGGGCCUUAAAAGACCAAAUUCAUUCGAAAGAUUGUAUUUUGGGCAUAAGCCCUUGUCGUUUCUUUAUUUUAUUACUAUUGUAUGUUUAGUCUAGGACACGUAGAAAAGAUAAAUGGUUCAAAAACCCAAAGACAUGUGGGUCCAAAUACCGGUCAAGGCGAACAGAAAACCCGUAUUUGGACCCAAAUUUCCCUCCCUCUCUCUCUUUACUUGCUUUUUAUUACUUAUA